This 829-nucleotide long non-coding RNA is filed under the name Numida meleagris (helmeted guineafowl). RNAcentral's name for it is "lncRNA (ENSNMEG00000020993.1)". The record is from RNAcentral. Lineage: Eukaryota; Metazoa; Chordata; Aves; Galliformes; Numididae.
AUUUUUACAGUAAUUGCAGACCUUCUUACCUGUUGCCCUCUCACAUCUAUUCUUCUUCAAGCACAGUAAGAUUAGCAAUCAUUUAUAGCAAUGAUAGUAUUAUCAUUUUGGAAUCAUCUAGUUUAAACCAGGACUAAGGUAUCAUGAAAUGAACUGCCUUCCCUUGGUAACAAAUGGUAGUGUUGAGGCGAGUUGGUUGUCUGGGCAAGGAGGAGACUGAGAAAGAGAGGGAGAAGCACAGCAAAGUUUCAGAUGUGUUGUCAAAUCUGGAUUGCAGAGGCUGAUUUCACACUAUCAUUCUCUCUUCAGAAAGUAACUUGACUGAUAUGAAAAAUCCACGUGCAAAUACUGUAAACUGUAAAACCUCUAGGAAGUCUUCACUGCAACCAGGCUAUAAUCUUGUCACUGUCUAUCAUUUGGAGCCAUGGAUCUCACUGCAUCAGGGAGAUGUCUACUGUUUCUUUUUUUUCUUCUUCUUCCUUUCUUCCAGUGUUUUCAGCUCUUCCAGCUCUCUUUCCUCUGUUCCUGUUUCCCCGCACAAGUGCCGAGAUCCUUCUGUGGUACAGAGGGGCCAACAGCAGAACCAAGAAAUGUGGGGAAAACUGCCGUUGCAACAGGAACACUGGAUCUUUCCUCUUCUCACUGAACAUCCUGCGUUCUCCCCUCAGGACUCAAGACAGCUCAGUGGAGAGGAGAGGAAAUGCUGCCAUGUCACUAGUAGCUCUGGCAAGCAGAGUAUAGCAAGCAACAGAUUCACUGAGAAAAUACUUCAUCUCUGUUAGAAAAAGUUGUCAGUUUUCAAGGAGACAAUGCAUGAUUUAGUUUUGUU